GAUGAAGAACGCAGCGAAAUGCGAUAAGUAAUGUGAAUUGCAGAAUUCAGUGAAUCAUCGAAUCUUUGAACGCACAUUGCGCCCCCCAGUAUUCUGGCGGGCAUGCCUGUUCGAGCGUCAUUUCAACCAUCAAGCCCUGCUUGUGUUGGGGUCCUGCGGCUGCGGCCGGCCCUAAAGACAGUGGCGGUGCCGCCUGGCCCUGAGCGUAGUACAUCUCUCGCUCCAGUGCCCGGUGGUAGCCUGCCAGAACCCCAACUCUCGUGGUUGACCUCGGAUCAGGUAGGGAUACCCGCUGAACUUAAGCAUAUCAAUAAGCGGAGGA
RNAcentral lists this unclassified non-coding RNA (322 nucleotides) under soil metagenome. Its description in RNAcentral is "partial contains 5.8S ribosomal RNA, internal transcribed spacer 2, and large subunit ribosomal RNA". The stretch from base 1 to 120 matches the Rfam family "5.8S ribosomal RNA", at positions 35 to 154 of the family's 154-position model. The record is from RNAcentral.